CCGCCCAUAGCUCAGUCGGUAGAGCAGCAGCCUUUUAAGCUGAGGGUCCCAGGUUCGAGCCCUGGUGGGCGGA
RNAcentral lists this transfer RNA (73 nucleotides) under Candidatus Kaiserbacteria bacterium. RNAcentral describes it as "tRNA-Lys". It matches the Rfam family "tRNA". Rfam says of the family: Transfer RNA (tRNA) molecules are approximately 80 nucleotides in length. The record is from RNAcentral. Lineage: Bacteria; Candidatus Kaiseribacteriota. RNAcentral also lists the same sequence under 2 other names.